Molecule: non-coding RNA, 3454 nt
Organism: Equus caballus (horse)
Lineage: Eukaryota; Metazoa; Chordata; Mammalia; Perissodactyla; Equidae
Source: RefSeq, a predicted model, not a curated record
GCGUCCCACAUGCCACAACCACAAGGACCCACGACUAAAAUAUACAACUAUGUAUCGGGGGGAUUUGGGGAGAAAAAGCAAAAAAAAAACCUUUCACAGUCUCUUACAAAUCUAUAUCCUCUCUGCUGUCACCACUUAAGUGAAUCUUUUGGCUUCAGGAAAUUUAGGGGUGUUUAAGAUGCUCACUUUUUACAGUAGUAAAACAUCUCUACAAACAAGCAAAAAGCUCACCAAAAUUAGAAGAUGCCAUCAAACUCACAAAACGAUCAGGUAAUUUUGAGUAACUUCAGGGCUUCAUGCAGCAGAAGAUGUGUUUAUAUCCGCAAACAUUCCAUAUCCCUGUUUCAAGAUGUUUAUUUAAAAAGUGAUCGUAAGUAAACCUUGACUUUUUACAACUUUGUGAUAUUUAUCCCCUUUCUUACCCUUAGCAAAUAUAUCACCUUGAUGUCAGAGAGUUAAUAGUAUCCUGCGCAUUUUAAAAACUAGUGACUAUUUCAUUUUAGACUCAAGGUCCAAAGACAAUUGGAUCUACCUCUGAAUAAGAGAGUAACAUUCCAUAGAAGGCUGGCUUGCUUUUCAUUGUCUUAUUCAGAAACCACGAAUAAGACAUUGCAUUCAAACAAAAUGAAAUUAAGAAUGACUUUUAUGAAAGAGCAUAACAUUUUUAACAGUGGCCUUUUUGACUUAGGAAGCUUUGACUGAGGGUUUGAACGCUUUGUUAAGCACAUUAACUUUUUCUGUGGGACUACUCUAUUGUUAGCUUCCUACAUUUGUCCCAGUGAUAAUAGCAAGCACAAGGACAACUACUUUUUCCUCUGUUCAAGUCACCGUUCUAAGUCCUUUGCAUGUAAUGCCCUGGAUUCUCUGAACAAUCUUAUGCAUUAGUUAUCAUCAUCUCCAUUUUACAAUUGAAGAAACUGAAGCACAAAGAAUAAUUAACUUGCCCGAGAUCAAGAGCUUAGGAAGAGAUGAAACAGGGGUUUCAGCUUUGCACAAACUAACGUUCCUAAAUGUACAAGGAGCACAAAAGGAGCCCGUCCAUGAAGCACCACCUGUGGAUGUCCUUCAGCUGAAAAUACCAGCCAGGUUGAAACAGCAAAAACCUAAUUAAUUGAUGACUGGUAGGGUCAAUAUCUUUCUAUGUCCAACUGGAGAACUGAAAAGAUCUCUCUUAUAGUUAGUCUCUGUGAAUUUGUGGUAAAGAAGGACCAAAUUCCAAAAGCAGAGCAGGGUACCUUUUGAAAUAUAAGAAGGAAAUUUUAGAAUCACUUUCUAGUGGUACCUCUUAUGGCUGAAAAGUGAUCUCCGUUAGAAAGCGACUUUAAAAAAAUCAGCAACAGUUUAACUGCAGCUUAGUAAAUGGUCAAAGAUGAUGGAUUUUCUGCUCUGUUAGUAUGGAGUGGGGCGUGGUGAAUGUUUGCUAAGCAGAUUGGCACUUUACAUGUGGCAUGGCAGGUUAGGUUAGGAAUUAUGUCCUUUCUAUAAAUUAGGAAGCUGAGGCUCAAAAUGUGUUAAAAGUCACGCAGCUACUAGGUGGUAAUGUUGGGGACUCAUCUCCUGGUCUAUCUGGUGAAAAACACUCUCACUCUUUCCACUGUCCUCUACUUUGAAUCCCAAAACAGUAGCUCUAAACACAAAUAAGAAUAGAUAUCACUGUCCAAGAUGAGUUUCAGUUGCCAGCUUAUCUAUUGAGAUAGACAUUUUGGCUUUGGAAAAGAAAAUUACUGGUUAGUCUUUCACCUUCAUUUCAAUUUCUUCUCUUUCAGUUUAUACAUGAGAUGAUUACCUUAAAAUUUUAAUGUUUGCAAACUGAUCAAAUCUGAUGAUCUCAGAUUAGCUAUAGUAUUUUCUGAACAAACAAGGGGUAGGAAGGGUGGGAAAAUAACCCGACCUGGUUCUUGAGAUCAGAGAUGCUUAAAGGCAUGUGUGAAAAUCCCCCGGGGGAAAAUAUUCACUAUUUUUUACCGUUUCAGCUCAGUUUCUGUUGCCUAAUCAUUUUCUUAUCGCCAAAGAUUGCAUAUUUACACAGGUGCUUCUCUGAUUUAAUUGUUUGGAAGCAGUCACUGGAAGCAAAGCUGUGUGACUCAGCUUUGGUGAUGCGGUCCAGCUGGGGUCUGACAGAUAUGCCAUGAAGUAGGCAAGAUCAAACUAAAUGCGUCAAAGAAUUCACCUAUGGAAAUCUUUGCAAGAAAUAAUCCAUCAACCUGUGCGAUAGUCAGGCUCUUAAAGCCAGGGUGACUCGCUGCAUACAAAACCACAACUGAUGUCGAAUUCAAAUCAGCCUAAUACCAGGUACUCUCAAACAAUGAAAGAAAUGGAAGAUAAGGAGAAUUUGAUUCAGAAUUAACUGAGGAAAUAGAUGUUCUCGUAUUAAGAACUGUUCCUCGUUAUCACCAUCAAAAUAUUCUUGUCAUCAAGGAAGAUGACACAGGAGCCUGAAUAGGAUUGAUAUAUGAAGCUUUAAAGCAACAUUUGCCUUGAUUUUUAGUUUAAGGUCAUCAUGCCUCUUUCUGCUGCAAAGAUUAGUUUCUAGAGGGAACUUAUUCAUCAAUGUCCAGUACCAAUUACAUUGCCAGUGUAACCCCCAUGGAGAAGAAGAAAGCUCCUAUCUGAAAUGAUAAGGUGGCCUACUGAGGCAAAAUGGACUCAGAGACAGACAAACCUGGAUUGAAAUCCUUGCUCCACCACUUUCUAGCCGUGUGUCUUUGGCAGGUUGAGAAACUUCUUGGAGCCUGGAGCCUGAACUUCCUCAUUUAUAAUGGGAAUAAUAACCAGUACUCUGAAGAUGUACCGUAAAAAUGAGAGGUAACAUGUAAUAUGCCUAGGACACAGCUUGAUAAGAGAAGGCAUUCCACAGACAAUAACCAUGAUAAUUGAGGGGCCUUCGAGUGAAUUGGUUUCCUUGAGCUGGAUCACAAAUGCCACCAUUCCCUCAAGACACGGGUCUGUUAAAAGUGAGUUUAUGAACCUGCAAAGCUGUGCAUUCUUUUACAGACACCCCUGAGACUCAGCCAAAAAUAGGCUGCCACUUUCAAGAAUCUCCACUGUAGUACAAAGCCUUCCUUAGAGUUUAGUAGCAGGCAUUGUUCUAAGCAGGAAUUUUCAACAUUCUUAUUGCCCAAAACCCCAUGACACUGUGUUUCGAGACUCUUGUAUAUCAAACAGAUGAUACUUAUUAAAUAAUAAACUUAUUUUCCCACUCUUUAUUACUUUAAGGCAUAAAUAAUUUUCUCACAUAGGUUUUGAAUUGACAUCAUUCAUUCAUCAAUAAGUAUCUGUGGACUACAAUGUGUUACAUGCUGGGAUUACAGUGUGGGCCAGGACUUGAUCCUUGCUCACAGUUUGAUGAGGAGACACACAAGUAAAGGACUGAAGAAUGGUGAGAGAUAGUCAAAGAAGAAGACAUAGGAAGAAUGCUUUGGGUAAAGGGAACAACACAUGCAAGGCUUCAAGG